Molecule: ribosomal RNA, 442 nt
Filed under: uncultured bacterium
Lineage: Bacteria
Description: partial 16S ribosomal RNA
Rfam family: Bacterial small subunit ribosomal RNA
Source: RNAcentral
CCUACGGGAGGCAGCAGUAGGGAAUCUUUCACAAUGGGCGAAAGCCUGAUGGAGCAACGCCGCGUGCAGGAUGAAGGCCUUCGGGUUGUAAACUGCUUUUAUCAGCGAGAAAUAUGAUGGUAACUUAUGAAUAAGGAUCGGCUCACUACGUGCCAGCAGCCGCGGUCAUACGUGGGAUCCGAGCAUUAUCCGGAGUGACUGGGUGUAAAGAGUUGCGUAGGUGGCAUAAUAAGUAGCUAGGUAAAUCUGGUGGCUCAACCAUUCAGACUAUUAGCUAAACUGUUAAGCUCGAGACCGUUAGGGGUAACUGGAAUUUCUAGUGUAGGAGUGAAAUCCGUAGAUAUUAGAAGGAACACCAAUAGCGUAGGCAGGUUGCUGGGACGGUUCUGACACUAAGGCACGAAAGCGUAGGGAGCAAACGGGAUUAGAUACCCUGGUAGUC